RNAcentral lists this ribosomal RNA (252 nucleotides) under uncultured bacterium. Its description in RNAcentral is "partial 16S ribosomal RNA". It matches the Rfam family "Bacterial small subunit ribosomal RNA", at positions 524 to 776 of the family's 1533-position model. The record is from RNAcentral.
UACGUAGGGGGCAAGCGUUAUCCGGAUUUACUGGGCAUAAAGGGCGCGUAGGUGGUGUUUUAAGUCAGGUGUUAAAGCCUCCAGCUCAACUGGAGUACGCACUUGAUACUGAAAUACUUGAGUACAGGAGAGGGAAGCGGAACCCAUGGUGUAGCGGUGAAAUGCGUAGAUAUCAUGGGGAACACCAGUUGCGAAGGCGGCUUCCUGGACUGUUACUGACACUGAGGCGCGAAAGCGUGGGGAGCAAACAGG